UUCAUUCUGCUUUGACAAAUAAAAUCAAGGUAUCAAGAUAUGAUUAUGUUUUUAAUCCUAAAACCUUUCAGGGAUAUAGAAUUUGAGUUAAAAGAAAUCUUUCAAUGCAUAUAAUAUGGCUUUUUUUUAGAUUUUUUUUUUUUUUACAGCAUCAGAACACCCCCUUCAGAAAACAAAUAGAUAAAGUGCCCAUGUAACAUGUAAAAACCAAACUCCUCUAGUUUGAAGAAGAGGCAGGGACUAAAACUACUUGUCUAACUCCUACCGUGUUUAUGAAUCCCUCUGCAGAAUCACUAACAUUUGGUUUUUAAACUCAAAUUGACAUCUCACAAGGCAGCCUAUCCCAGUUUUGACAACUGUGUUAUUCCACCUAAUAACUGUUUUCAACUCAUUAAAAAACUAUCGUUAUUAUAUUCCCUGUAUAAUUCAAGUAAGUCCAAAUGUCUCCAUUCACUACUUUCCUAGAUAUGGUGGGUCUAACACCAAGCAUAAUCUCAACUCUACAAUUAAAUUAAUAGAGACUAAGAGUAUAUUAGCUUUUGAAGUAGCAUACUAAAAUUAUUAGUUUAUGUUGCUCUUACUGUCAACAAAAAUGCUUUUUUUCCCUCAUUUUCUUCUAUUAAGCUAUGCAACAUAGUAGUGAAAGAGGCUUAAACAGAGAGAAUGAAGACUUGUGCUUAAGUCUAGAAAAUUGAUUGAAAUAGUGAAGUAACAAAGACACUUACUACCAGAAGAACACAGAGACAAAACACAGUUAAUUUGAGUGCUGAGAAGUCUUUAUUUAGGCAGAGUACAUACUCCAAGAAAGGGGAGAAUGGGCAUCCUCAGAGAGGAGGCAUGCUUAAGGGCUUUGGAUUCUAUCUUUUAAGGCUUUUAAGAAUAGGGCAGAGGGCCGUUGGGGUUGUAGGCUUGAUAUGUGGUCUCAUGAUGUCUCUCUCAAGUGAGAGACAUUAUGUCAUCAUCCGUAGUCUGUCCUCUAGAUAUUCUGUGAGAUAAACCUAACACAAAGGAUUUCCUCAUCCUGUUCUUCUGCAAGAUAGUAUUUACCCUCAAGCAGUGAGAACAUAUCAUUUAGGACUUCUUGCGCUGCCCCAAGACAAGUUAGUUAUUGGCUGAUUACCAUAAAAUAUCUUAGGAAUCUUACCUCUUAACUCCCUGGUUUUUAAAAUGGAAUCUUAGCCUUAAGAUGGAAUCCCUCCUAUUAUACUAUUUAUAUCUUGGCAUUUUUCAUCACAGGCAGGAAAACUUAAUCAUGAUGCUUGUCGCAUGUCCCUGCCCUACCUUACUAUGGACAGUUGAAAUUGUGAGGAUUAAAUGAGUUAAUAAAAAUGCUUAGAACAUGGUUAAAUAAGUAUAUAAUAAAUAUAAGUUAACAUUAUUUUAUUAGCAGACUUUUAAAAUUGUUUAAAAAAAUUUUUAAGUGUAAUUCCUUAUUAACACUUUCUUGGCAAUUUCCAAAUUUCUUAAAUACAGAAUUGUUCUCAAAUUGGUCUUGAAAACACUGUUUUGACUUAACAUUGCUCUCUUCUUGACUGUAAUAUAGCUUAUCAAAACAGUUCUAUUAAUGAUGGACAAACCUUACAGCUUACCAUAUUUCAUGUCUGAUUCCUUAAAAAUUAUUUGAGGUAUCUAACAUGUAUUUAACAACAGGAAAUCUGAUUAUGCUGUUAAAUCUCUGGUUUGUAUCUAAGUGGUCACAAGGACUGUACCACAACCCUUGGCAUGCAGAUUGCACGUGUGAACUAGCCACUGCUGCCCAGUUGCUUUUCCAAUCUAAUUACUAUCUCCCCUGGAAAGAAAAUUGAAGAAUAUUAUCAAAGACAGUAGUAUAAUUUGAAAAAGCUUAAUGGAUAGUCAGUCCCUUAUAAAACUAGGCUAACAAUGGAACAGGAAUUUUAACCUAUAAGGUAGCAGGAAUUAUAUACCUUUCUUAGUUACUCUUUGUUUCCCAGUACCUAGCACAAAACUUUCUAAAAUAUAGUCCUUUACUCAAGAUUUGAAGCCACUCUCAUUUCCUGGGUAAGUCCUCACUGAUUACUUGUGAUCUGCCUCAUUUAAUAUUUAGCAUUAUAUGUCUUUAAAAGAUCAGUACUAUUUCUAUUAUAGCUGUCGUGGCAGUCAAGUCUAAACAAACACCAUUGAAGUGGUAUGGAAUCCUGGGGUGGAAAAUCUUUUCCAAAUUGCCCAGCAUUCCUCCAUUCUGAUUUGCCUCUUUUGGGUAAGUGGGUAGUGGGGGGGGGCAUACAAAUGGAUCCCCUUUCCACCACACAUAACAUCAUUUUGUUGUAAGCUAGGAUUAUUGAAGGUUGGGUGAACCAAUGAAUGUUCAUUCCAUCCACUUCACAGGACAGCCUGAGCAAGUCAUGUUUCAAUAUACUUAGCCUUUGAUCAACAUGUUUCAUCAUUGAAAUAAGUUGGGUUGGGUAAUGCCCAAAAACUACAGACCUAAGAAUGUUAAGCCCAUGCACCAGCUCAUGUAUAUCUUUAAUUUCUUUACUGUCCAGCCCAGUGCGUUAUUCAUUACAUGCUCUACAGGGGAAAAUGUGUUUUUGUUGAUAUAACAGUAAAAUCUGGCAAAGGCUAUUCAUUUAUGAGCAUUAAAUGUUUGCCUUUUAGUAAUGUCUAGAACAAGGAGGUUAGGGUAAAAUUGCCGCACACACACAAGAAAAGAUAGUUUGUAUCCUGAGGGACUAUUCUGAAGAGGAACAACCUGUCAUCCUCUUGUUUGUUUUCUUGUUUCCCUUUUAAAUUAAGUUAAAAAAAAAAAGUCAUGACCAUCAUUUCCCUUUGACAUAAAAGAUUGUGUUGCAGAAAAUAAGGGCAAUGAGAAACAAAACUUUCAGAUUCAGUUCUUCCUAGAAAACAUUUUAAUUUCUUCUAAUUAUAUUUCAGACCCAGGUCGUGAGCAUCAUCAUCAUCAUCAGGGCUAACAUGCAUAAACACUAAGUCAUGAGCUGUCAACUAUGCUAAAAUGCUUUAAUUUCAUUAUAAUUUAAUCCUCAGUACAGUUCUGUGAAGCAGGAACAGUUAUCUCCCCUUUUAUAAUUCAAGGAAACUGAGGUUUUAGAGAUAUUAAGUAACAUUAACUGAUAAUGUCACUUACCUAUAUGUGGGUGACCAAGUUUUAUUUGAACAUAGUCAUAAUCAUUCAUUUAUGUUUUGUCUAUAACUGUUUUUCAGCUAUGUAGUAGAAUUCAGUAGUUGUAAUAGAGAUCAUCUGGCCCCCAAAGACUAAAAAUAUUUUCUAUUUGGACAUUUACAGACAAUAUUUACAGGCAAUAUUUACUGACCCCUGGUCUAAAUCAUUAUAUACAGAGUGCAGAGAUCCUUUCUUCUCUGACAUUUUAAUAAAUCCGAAAUGCUCUUUAUUCAAAUACCUUGAAGGAUCUAUGCUUAAUAGGAGAUACACUCCUAAAGUAAUAAUUCAAAGUUCUUCACAGUAUAAGCACUAAUCUAGCUUUAUCUUGCUAUGACCCAAUUCUGCUUUUCUUCCCUGCUAUAUGAGUUUUUCUGUCUACAGCCUUACUCAUGCUGUUCCCUUUGUCAUCCUUACCCCUGUCUAUGGACUCCAACCUAAUCUUCAAAAUAUGUUUUAAAUGUUAUCUCUUUCCUGAUUCCUUUUCUUAUUUCCUCUCUCCCACUUUUGUAGUCCACCCCAAUUGGAUGAACUCUUUCUUUUAACUUCCACAGUAAUUUGAACAAAUUACUCAGUUAUUCAAAGAGCUGCCUUACAGCUCUGAUUGUAUGGUUUUGUAUUUUGCUUUUAUUUGACUUUUUAAAUAUUCUUUUCUCUCAGAAAUAUGUUGAGCACCCUGUCGUAUGGCAGCACUGGUGGCUAGGUUCUGGAGAUCAAUAGUUAAAUAAGGCAUAGUCCUGUACUCAAGCUGUACUAUUUUAUCCUUCCUACUAGAUUGUAAGCACCUGCCAGAGAAAACACCCAGUCCCAUUCAUCUUCAUUUUAUAAUGUGCUCAGUAAUUAUUGGUGAACUUGAGCAGUACAUUUAGUGAUGUUACAAAUUAAAUGUCUUCAUAUCAUGUUUUAAACUUUUCCUUUAAAUUGCUUUAAUUUGGCUACUUGUUCCAUCUUUCAGAAGAACUGUUAAUUCCCUCUAAUUAGAAAACUGAAGAAAAUUAUGAAAUGAUUAACAAUUUCUUAUAUCCUAGAGUGUUUAUAAAUAUACAACUGACAAGUAUUUUUCUGUCAAGUUAAUUGGGAGCUUAUCUUGAAUUUAUUAAGGCUUAGCACCCUGAAGUUUAUUCCAUUGUACUUAAGAUGAUCAUUUCAUUAAGUUAGAGUUGUUUCCAAGCUGUAUGUUAUUUGUUCUAAGCUUUUUUUUUUUAAUACUGAAAAGUUACUAAGUAUACCUAGAGAAGUUACUGAAGCAAGACCAAGAUCAGUCACAUAGCUCCUAAACAAUAGGGCCCAAGUUUCUAGAUUCCAGCUCCGCUUCUGUGAUACUAUGCUGCAAGAUUUUAAAAAUUAAUCAUUAGAUCUGCACUGCCCAAUAAUGGUAGCUGCAUGUGGCUAGGUAGCACUUGAAAUAUAUCUAGUUCAAAUUGAGGUGUACUGUAAGUAUAAAAUAAUACUGAAUUUCAAAGACUUAGUAUAAAAAACACAAAAUAGCUCUAAUAUUUAUUUUGGUUACAUAUUAAAAUAAUGAUUUGGGUAUAUAAAGGGCUAGGAAAUAUUAAAAUUAAUUUCACCUGUUUCUUUUUAGUCAUUUUUUUUUAUGUGGCUACUAGAAAUUUAAAAUUAUAUGUAUGGUUCACAUAUGUUUCUGUUGGACAGCACUGAUCUGUAGUACUUACUAAUACAAGAUAUACAUCAUACACGAUUUUAAGUGUGUCAUUAAUAUAUAUUCUGUAGUGAAUAUGUGAAAUAGGAAAACCUUACCCAACUUUGAAAAGUUCACAUUUUAUACUUAAGCCCAGUUCUGUUCUUCACUUACCCAGAAUGAAUUAAGAAUAACUAAAUGAGAAACUCUUACAUAUAAUAAUGAAAUAAAAUAGCUAAAAGAGACCUCUAUUAUAUGAUAAAAACCCCUGUUAGUCACGUAUUUUCAAUUCCUGAACCAAAUAAAGUAUUGUACAGGUCAAUUUUUUCAUUUAAGAAUGCCCACAUAUCUGAGAUAAAAAGUUACCUUCUUCCCACUGUUAAUAAUUCCUGCCACCACCACCCCUCCCUCUGUUGUUUUUUCGCUUAGGUCUCUUUCUUGACCAUACUUCACUCCUGUGGAAGGCUGGUUCUGUGAAACUGGGGAGUGAGAAGGAAGAAAAGACUGAAUACCCUCCCAUAGCUUCUUUUUCCCACUGCUCCCUACUUCCACUCCCCUAACUCUUACUUUUCCCUCCCCCGACAUAACACACAAAGUAAAGAAAAUAUAAAUGCCCCUGUGUCUUCUGGCUUUAAACCCAGGGCCUCAUCCUAAAGGUCUCCCUUUGAGUUUAGUAUAUUCCCAAGGAACUCUUCAAAGAUACUCUUUUUCUCUUUUUACAAAGAAAGGUUAUCUGGGGUUUCCUCUGAAAUGUAGAUGAACCUUACUUUAGUUCUUUGUAUACUAAAAAGACCCAUCCUUCUCACCCAUGUGGCUUUUGUCUUUCCUUGUGUUUCCUGAUGGGUCGAAGGGUAGAUAGAAGGAAGCUGCUUCAUGGAGUGAGGAGGUGGAAGAUAGCUCUGGAAAAUUUCAAUGGUAGAAGGCUAGAAUCUACUACCAUUUACAUGCUAAUGAAACCAGAAAUAGCUUUUUUUCCCCUUUUGAUCUGAUUUUAAACUUUGUGCCUUUCCUGUGGUAGGUCAUUUUACCCCCCUGUGUUUUUCUCAUUGUUGUUAGCUGUAAAAACUCUUUGAAAUUCUCAAGAUAGAGGAGGAUUUCUUUCAGGAAUAGGAGGAGAGGAUAAGCUGUGUAACUGCAUUCUGCUCAUAGUGGGUCUAUUAGGGAGGAAAACCCGCCUCUGCAGUAAUAGAAGGCAGAAGCAGAGACAGAAGCAGGCAGGUCAGGCCUAGAUCCAAUAAAAUAAACAGAUAAUUGGAGUUGUAGCCUAGGACUUAGAAUUAUCCCAAAAGUGGACACCAGCAAGGUCUAGACUUCCCACAUAACUUAAACCUUUAAUGAGUGUCUGAAACUCACAUCCAUAUGUCUGUUAAAAGACAACUUAGAUAUGGAUCAUGACCCAUACAGAUAUAAAAUGCUUGUUAAGGAUUUAUUUUACUUGUGAUACAAAGUAGGAAAGAUGAAAUAAAAAUGGCGUCAACUUCUGUCAAGGGAUUUUAGGUUGGAGCCCAGCUGGGAGGCCAUUAAGGAGGUGGGUCUUAUGCACAUCCGCACUAGUGGAACUAUGAGCUUUGAACUGAGCCAAAUGCAGAUAUUCCAAGGACUCAGCUCUAACACCUACAACUGGCUAUAGUGAGAGACUGCUUAGAGAUAGUCUUAGCAACCAAUUAUGUUCAGUCCGGAUUAUUUUCUGCCUCCAACAUCAAACACAUUUCUUUGUAAAUCACAUAUACAAGUAUGCCUUUCUGUCUUUUAAAAAAAUCCUCAACUUUUGUUCCCUAGUGCGGCACAAUUUGGGUUGCUACAAGAAUUUAUGUUCCCCAGAUUGCAAUUUUGAGACCCCAAAUAAAUGCUUUCAGUUGACAAAGGGACCUAGGUAGAUGUUAUAACCAAGUUAAAGUCAAACACCACAAAUUACAUAUAUGGAAAAAAGGGAUAUGGAGAAAAGGAAUGCAAAUGGAGACAUAACUCUUUAGAGUUUUAAAGGGAAGGGAAGUCAAUUAAAUCACUAACAGGACAGAGGGCAGAAUUUGCAUCAUCUAUCAGUUUUGUGCAAUUUAAAAAUAGUUAUAGAAAUAGCUGAAAGACAAGGAAUUGAGCUAAAAUCUGAUAAAAUCUGGAAAAGGAAGGGCCUGGUAUAAAUGACGCAUAGUUUUCCAUUGAAACAAAAUUUGUUUCUACACUCCACCUUUUUUUAUUGAAAAAAAAAAUCUCAAAGAUUAUUCAUGGUCACAAAAUAAGAUUGGGCUAAUAAUAUUUGGCCUGACUUAUUUACAUAGGUGUAGCUAUAGUGUUCAUUUACCACUCUAGGGGAAAAAAAAUAAUUUUCUCCUACAUUUCUAGGUUCUUAGUUGAGACCACCUUGUAGUAAAAAGAUAAAUGAGGAGAAAAACAAACAAGUUUGAUAACUGUAUACCUCUUAUAUACAUGGGAGAUACCCAGGCAUACUGAGUAACCCAGAAAUGGCCCUAGCCACCACAUUAAAUACCAUCUCUAGCUAAAGACAAAAGAUGGUGUGUGGGAGGGGGAGUGAAUUAUGGGAGGUUAUCUGGCAAAGCACAGUGAGGGUAUGGUUAUGGAGAUUUACCUCUAAGCCUUCUCUGUUGAUAAAUUUCUAGUUUUAGUCAUCCUUCUCUUCCUAGUACAGAGAGGGAGACCUUCCUUACAAACAGAGGCUUCUCAUAUAAAUGUAAAUGUAACUCACAAAAGGGCAACUUCCACUGUUUUCAGAGAUUUUCCCUGUGUUUGCUGUUUCUAGCCUAAGAUAAUCGUUAAUGCCAAAGAGGCAUUUGGGGGUUGCAUAUUCUGUUUCCCUUUACCUCAUUAGCUUUCUUAAGUUCCGUUGCUGAAAUAUUUCCCUAAGGAAUCUGAAAUUGUACUUUUCAAAAAGCUACUUGAGACUAGGAACCCUCGCCAAUAACCUGCCACCAGAUUUCUCCUGCAAUAUCUCUUAAUUUGCCCAAAUUCCUCCCUUCUCAAUGUCUUCAAAAUGUCCUAAAUCUCCUAACUAUUUUAGAAAACUUUGUAAGCCUGGUGCCCAGGUCACUUUUUCUGUAAGUACUUUGUAAGCAUUAGCUCCAUAAAUUCAACUUUAAUUUCUUAAAGUGUCUGGUCUUGGACAAUUAAAUGAGUACCAUUUUCAAAUAUGUUAUGCCAGGUAACACCUUGGUUGCAUAACCAUUGUGUCCAAUUAUGUUUUAAUAAAAAGGACUUUAUGAACAUGUACAAAUAACUGUAUUACCACAAGAAAUAUUCAACAAGAGUUCCAGAAUUCUCUGGGAAUCAUGCAGAGAGACUAAAGUAUCAUUUACAAAUGAUAACAAAUUUUAGUUUACAAAGUGGAGUCCACUAAAUUCUAACAAGUUAUAGAUACCUCUGGGGGAAAGAGAAGGGACUUCCUUACAUGUCUAGAAAAUAGGACAUUAAAACAAUAUAAAAAUAUUCCAAACAAAACUACAGUUGUCCCUUAUCAGUUCAUUCAGUCCUAUAUAAUUAAUUCUUAUUUCACUGGAUCUAAAUAUAUCCAUUUCUCAACUACAGUUCUGGAAAUUUUGAAGCAGUCCAAUGGUGUGGUCUUACAUUUGUUGAAGAGAUACCAAGCCUGUACUCAAAAGUACCUUGCAUAGUCCUUCUCCCAAGGGUAUCUGAGACAGUCUUUCUUUGUUGAAGAGAAAACCUGGAGCUAAAUUCAAAAGCUUUCAGGGAAGCAUCAGAGUAAAACAAAGAAAUCUGUCAUAAAUGAUAAGAGAAUUUAAAUGGCUAUAGUUAAUAUUACUGAUAAAUUUCAAAAGCAAAAUAUAUGAGUUUAUAACAACAAGAAUGCAACUUGAAGUCAUUCUAACUGACAAAAUAUCUGUAAACAUUUAAACAUAUUUUCAAAAGAAAACUGAAUAUUCAUGUAAUUUAUAAAAAUGAAUGUAAUCUUUGUAGAGAAAAAAUUUUGAGAUAUGACAUAAUAACACUGAACUAUAAUACACCCUGAACAUGCCAAACAUAUAGUCAGAAUAUACCAAAACUGUAAUAAGAAUAUCAAGUGAAAAGAUUCAUUAAGUCUAGGGUAGGUCCUAAACAUCUGUAUAUAAAUAAAACUCCGUAAGUAAUUGAUAUGGAUUCCCAAUUGACAUAUACUGGCCUAGAAGACACAAGAUCCAAACUAAAGAAGAUAUAACCAAGUUAAUAUUUUUAAAAAUACUAAAUUGAUAACCUGUACUGUUGUUGAGUAACAUGCAAAGCAACACCAGGGCUCUGAUAGAAAAAACAUCAUGGACAGAAAGAGCACUGACAAAUCUUUGUACUUCGCAUAUAGCAUACAGUUUCUGAAAUACUGGUAUUAGUAACAUCUCACCCAUUCAGAUUAGACCUCAGGUUAAGAAUCUCUUCCAACUUGACAACUCUUCCCAUGCAGCUCAUCAGUAGUAACAUAUCAGGUAAACUUAAUUAUUUCUAGUCCCUCUCUUAUUACAAGCUUGGAAGAACCUAUCUGUGCUUCUCCAGAGGCCCUUUGGGAAACCUCCAAAAUAGUUUUAGGCACAAAGAUACUCUGAAUGUUUAGUUUAGUUGUUUUUUUUUUUACAUUGAGGAUUUGACUUAGGGGAGGCCAGAAAAAAAAUUGUCAGUAGAUUUGCACACACAGGAAUAGGAUCAUGGGUGCCCAAGACAUAAUAUUUAGCUGCUCAUUUCAGAGUGAUGAUAAAACUUACAAACAUAGAAGGCAACAUGACUGUCAAGAACCUGAGCUCUUGCCUAUGUCAUCAAAGACUUAAAGUCAGCAUAGCAUAUAUGGUUAUUCUGAUACGCCACAGAACCUUUGCAAUCUGGGAAGAUUAAACAAAAAAGGUGAAGACAGUAAACAGUAAACUGAUUAAAUGAGCCCAUCAAAAUUGAGCAAACUUUGCUAAGGUUUUAACAUGCCAUAGUUUUUCAGACUUAUUUUUUUAGACAUUCAGUAAUCUAAGGCAAAAACAAUUUUGUAUUUACAAAUCUUACACACCUUUCUUUAUCCAUUCAGGUUUUGUCCUUUACCAUUCUUUCUCAUUCUAGAACAAGCAUUUUACUUUAGGACCUAACUAUUUUCUUUUUCCCUUUGUAAACAGAAACAUUUCAUCCAUUACCUUGCACACAAAGUUAGACCCCUUUGCUACUAUUGCUCUUAGUAGAGUUCAUUCUGUAUAUUAAUUGUAUCUUUUAACCAAAGUUAAUUCUACUUCACAGAGAAAACUGACAUAGAUAAUUGAAACUAUUACACAUCAGCAUUUUAGUAGGCUAGCAAAACUCAUAAGUACACGUAACACAGCUUUCUACAGCCAUGUGCAUUCUUUAUCUCUGACUUCUCCAGGUGGCAAAAGUGAACAUGUCCCUUAACAAAUCCAGCCUCUCUGUAGCCCAUAAAACAAGAAGCAAAAGUAUAUAAACUUAAAUUUUUGCUUAGUAAUUAAUGGUUCAGUAUUGUAUCUUAGAAAUAAAUGAUCUAGGUAUCUAUAAAUAUCCAUUCGUAUCAUCAAGGUUUUAAGUUACCCAAAGAUCUUAGAAAUCAAUUUUCAAAGUGACAUACUACAAAAUGUAAUUACUGUUUAGAUAAAGUUGUAACAAUGAAUCAUUUUGGAUAAAUAGAAAUUUACAUUUUUCAGGACUGUAAAACAUUAAACAGAAGUAAUGCCAACUUAUUGAAUCAGUAAACUUACAUAAGGAUAGAAAGAACAUACCUAAGUAAAAUAAAAAUCUAUGCUUGUAUAAUAUUUAACACUGAUAAAGAAAGCUGUUUUUAUUAAACCAAAAUUAUUGUUUGUCUUGUUUGCCAAAGAGUUACCUGUAUUACCUAAAUUUGAAUUAUUAAGUGUUCUAUAAAAUCUAGCACAUUAAAAGUAUUAGAAGUUCAGUUGCCUUGUUUUCUGAGAAUUUUAGAAAUACUCCACUUAUGUAAGUUUUCAUUUUUGCCUAUAAACUGCCCAGAACAGAGCCUUUAAGGAAAUUUUAUAAUCUAAUUCAUUAAUACCAUCUGGAGAUAGAAAAACACCUCCCACACACAUAAUAAGAGGUAAAGGCCUUUCUGAAUGAACAUACAAGUAGAUAGACCUACAAAAAUAGAGAGCAUAUGACCUAAAUUCUUAAAACUCAGCUAUAGGUUAAUAGUAAACACAGAAUUAUGACAUUACUAAAGAGUUGCUCUCUUCUCAGUGAAUACAAGUUCUUCACUUAUUUGAGCACAUACCAACAGAAAAGACCACAGAUGUUCUGUCUCUUCUCACCCAACAGAGAAUAGAUCUCUAAAAUCAUUAAUCUGUUUAACAGAACCGUCAAAUGCUCAGACCCUAAAACCAAUUCCCAAAAUUAGUAGAGAGCAAAAGAAAAUUCGAAAAGAUGGAGUCUCAUCAAAGUUCUCCUGUAUUCACCUCUUGGAUCCAAGAAAAGAUGCCUGUGUUUAAAAUAAGAUGUACCACUUCUGCUGAAGAAGUUUGCCCAGCUUUGGUUGUUGAAUCUAUUAGGUGUCUCAGUGGGACCUCCAAAAUUGUUAACAGAAUUUUUCCUGAAAAAGAAUAAAUCAUGACUCUAAUAUAGAUACAAGUGAACAUGUGUUAAAGCAUUUAUGUUACUCGUGAAAUAAGGGAGCCAGGCAGAUUUUGUAGCCAGUUCAAAGGAAAAGUCAGUAAAAUAGCAAAUUUAUAUAGAGCAAAGGAAUGUUGAGAUGAAUUGCAAAUGGAGAUGAAACUGUUUUUUUUCCAGGGCUGAGUCACCAGUCAAAACAAAACUUAUGUAUCAAUUACAGUCAGUUCUCACUAUUCAUGGUAGUUAAGUUCUGUAAAGCCAUCACAAAUACUAGAUUAGUGAAUAGUGAAAUGCUGCUCUUAAGGAAAAUACAGUGUUAGAGUCCUCUGAGCCUCUGAUGACAAAAUUUCAUCACCUGAUCAGUAUGUAGCUUUUUUUAAAGUGUGUUUCUACUUAGAAACACCUUAUUUUAUGUAUCGGUUUGUGAACAUUGAAGUUACAGCCAACAGCACUAUAACUUACUCCUAAACGAUGCUUAUCUGACACAUAUCUUAGCAUGUCACAGCCUUCUUACACUUGGGAACACUAGAGAGCCCUAAAUUAGGGGUCAUUAUAAUAAGCAAAAUCACAAAGCAACAGCACAAAAAUGCAAUAAACGUGGCUGUAAACAGACCAUGAAAAGGACACUUGUUUAUAGUCUGAGAACUGAAACAAGAAAGCAGAGCAUUACCUUGCUUGACCUUAGCUAGGAACACACAUGUUGGAUGACUCAAAUUUUUCAUCACUCUGCAUGUUGUGAAUGACCAUGGAAACGUGAGUACUGAUGUGGGGGUUACAAAUAAAUUUUAGUGACUAGGCAAUUUUACAAAUACAGAAUCUGCAAUAGUGAUUAUUUGUACCUGCAACUUACAAUUGCAAAAUAACUCAAAGACCACAGGGAUAAGGUCUGGUGUGCUAUUGACAGCACAUAAUUUUCUAUUGAAGCACAAUUUUUGUUUUUUACUUUAUAACUGUUUCUUCCCAGUCUCCAGUACUAGUUGUCUUGUGGCUAGGAAAUGUUUACCUAGACUGCUAAGGCCCCUUGAGAGACAGAGAGAUGUAUUCCUUAGAUUCCCUGUGGUAAGUCUGAAACAAUUUUUCCUGGAGAGAGAAUGUUAUAGAUAGUGGCUUAGGAAAGUUCCUAUGUAUUAUAAAUAGGAUUCUGGAAAUCCCAGUGCACAGACCACACACCUGAGACCAGUUAUGUCAAAAUCUCUGAGUGUGAUUUUUGGACAUCCACCACUGUUUUUCUCUAGAAAAACUUGUUCUAAAUUUCUAAUGACUGAUUUCCAAAUGUAUUUUUGGAACACAAACCAGUUUGUUUUGUGGCAAAUUCUGAAGUAUUUGGUUACAGUGACUGCUUGGAAAAAAGAAUAAUACUGUAUAGCAACUAUAUUAUUUGAAAAGAUAAUACAUUUAAAGGAGCCACUAUCACAUCAAAGGUGGGUUUUUUUUUGAGGUGUUGCAGCUGUGGCAGGUGUACUAAUCUAAUAAAUACUUCAGAUGUCUCACAUUUUCACCUUAUUUGCUUGUUUAAGUCAUUUUAUAUAAUUUUCAUGGAAAGAAUUGCUUUUCCAGUAUAUCGAAAUCGCUAUUAUUUCUCCUCCAUAAUAUUUCCCAAAAGAUCUAAGAUACUUUUAAAUUACUCUGAACCUCCCCUCCCCCAAAUAUUAGGUACUUGGGAAUUUCAAAAUAUAGACUUAUAAAGUGAAAUUUCUGAAAAGCUCUUUUUUCUUCCUUUCCCCUUCUUCCUUUAUAUUUUAAAGUUUAUGCUUUGCUUCCAUCUAGGCUUAAUAUGGAUACAUAGCCUGGUGAGGAAUCUUAAAACCUUCCAAGUACCAACAUACCUCACUUGUGCCUUCCAAGGCCUUGCUACUCUGAUCCCAUGUCUUUGUUAGCAGUGACUGCCCAUUGUGUCAGUUUGUGCCAAAUUAUGUGGUGGUUCCUGCUUUGUACACAAUGGACAGUAGGAAAAAUCAUUACACUGUUCACUUCUGAACUACUAUCAGGUUUGAUAUUAGGUUAUUAAAAGAGAAAGCCCUUUCAUAGGCCUUGAACCAAGGUUACUAAAGGUAACAUUUCACAAGCAAUAAAAGCACUGAUGAAUGUUUCUUUGUAUUUUUGCAUCACUGAACCAUAAAUAAAAUGGUUCUGUAAAUAAAAAUGAAUGGAACUAAUUUUCUUUUUCUGUCUCGUACAUGGAAUUUGUAAGUUAAUUGUUGUGGUCUGGUUUUGUUCAAAGGCUUUUUUUUUUUUUUUUUUCAUUUUUCAAGGCAUCUGAAAAGAUUAAACCAAACUUUCAUAUUGUAGUAAGUAGAGUAUUCCAACCACAGUCUGGAGAUCAACAAAGUAAGUGGGCAUGUUUCUGAAAAAGAAAUUGAGCAUAGGAUAUUACAGAUCACAUUUUAAGUGUGCUAGAGCAUUUGCCAGAGGUACUUCUCUGAUAGUAGGGCUUAAAGUUGAAAAUAUCUUUGUGAAAGCAUUCCAGUGUGUGAAUUAGCAAAAGGAGUUAGCUUCUCAUCAUAGGUGCUGGUAGUUGGAUUUGUGGUUAAUCCAUGCCAUAUGGCUGCUCUCCUCUGGGAAGUGACAGCAGCCCUGGGAGCUUUACCACAUCCCUUGGGCAGCUGCUUUGGACUCAGUUGCUUUGAUGUUCUUCUGUUGCACAGCUGGAAAGAGCAAGGGCUGGUUUUCAGUGUCCUUAUAGAACAGCAUAAGGGUCCUUUGUCCUAGACUACACCUUGCUUUUAUAUCAUUUUAUAUGCUAUGCUUCAGAGAGUGCAAGUGUUUUCACUUCCAUGAUCUCACUCAGAAACUCAAGUUUGAGGUAUUUCUUUAAAAGAAACACUUAUUUUAGGGGGGUUGAAAAAAAUUCUAUUUUAGGGUUAAAAAAUAUUCUUGCAGAAACUUAACAUUUUAUAAAUAAGAUUCCAUUCUUAAAUUUCUACAUUCUAUUUCUUGCAAGUUAUAUUUUCUAAGAACAGGUUUCAAAUGAUAAAUAGAAAAAAAUGAGUCUAGUUCAUUUAAUUUACCCAUUAACUAUGAAUAUUUAAUGACCUUUCAGUUGUUAUUCUUAUUGUGCCUUCUUAGCUAAAGGUCACUGCUUGCCCCAGUAGUCUUUAUUUAUAUUGCCACAGUAUAUAAAGAGUAUCUGGGAAAGCUUGUGGUGUGAAGUGUAGUGGGACCAGUGAGUUUGUUCAUGGCACUGAAAGGUGCAAACACUUUGGAUAGGGAUGCUUGGAAAUGUGGCCAGAUUAAGAGUUCCAAAAGAGAUCACAUUUUCAUUAUAACAUCAGUCCUACAGAGAAGAGUUUUCUUAAUGAUGGAUAGAAAAUCCAAAAGGCAAUCUGUGUAGAUUAUGAACUGAUUUCAGUCUCUUGUGAAUUGUCAUUAGACUUCCACAUAUCCUUCUUUGCUUUUACUUAGAGAAGCACAGUUGCUUGUGCACCCUCGGGAACAGUUUUCCACAGAAAAAUGUGAGGGAAAGGAUCCCAACAAUCACUAGUGGCUGUGGUAGAGUAGUAAUAUAGUGAUGGAUAAUUUUAGCAAAUGUAUGUUUUGUUUGUUUUCAC
Molecule: long non-coding RNA, 14863 nt
Organism: Manis pentadactyla (Chinese pangolin)
Lineage: Eukaryota; Metazoa; Chordata; Mammalia; Pholidota; Manidae
Exons: 2
Source: RefSeq, a predicted model, not a curated record